ACUCUAAUAGUUUAUUAAAAACAUUGGUCUUGUAAGCCAAAAAGUGAAGACUAUAACCCUUCUUAGAGUA
The sequence is a transfer RNA, 70 nucleotides long. It matches the Rfam family "tRNA". Rfam says of the family: Transfer RNA (tRNA) molecules are approximately 80 nucleotides in length. Their secondary structure includes four short double-helical elements and three loops (D, anti-codon, and T loops).